GAUGAAGAACGCAGCGAAAUGCGAUAAGUAAUGUGAAUUGCAGAAUUCAGUGAAUCAUCGAAUCUUUGAACGCACAUUGCGCCCGCCAGUAUUCUGGCGGGCAUGCCUGUUCGAGCGUUAUUUCAACCCUCAAGACCCCUUCGGGGGACUUGGUGUUGGGGACCGGCACAGGGGCCUGCCUGCUUGUCUUGCAGCGCCCUCGCCGCCCCCGAAAUGAAUUGGCGGCCUCGUCGCGGCCUCCCCUGCGUAGUAGCACAAACCUCGCAACGGGAACGUGACGGCGGCCACUGCCGUAAAACAACCCAAUUUUAUUAGAGUUGACCUCGAAUCAGGUAGGAAUACCCGCUGAACUUAAGCAUAUCAAUAAGCGGAGGA
Molecule: unclassified non-coding RNA, 375 nt
Filed under: soil metagenome
Description: partial contains 5.8S ribosomal RNA, internal transcribed spacer 2, and large subunit ribosomal RNA
Rfam family: 5.8S ribosomal RNA (bases 1-120)
Source: RNAcentral